RNAcentral lists this ribosomal RNA (340 nucleotides) under Lactiplantibacillus plantarum. Its description in RNAcentral is "bacterial SSU rRNA". It matches the Rfam family "Bacterial small subunit ribosomal RNA", at positions 1188 to 1526 of the family's 1533-position model. The record is from RNAcentral. Lineage: Bacteria; Bacillati; Bacillota; Bacilli; Lactobacillales; Lactobacillaceae.
AAUCAUCAUGCCCCUUAUGACCUGGGCUACACACGUGCUACAAUGGAUGGUACAACGAGUUGCGAACUCGCGAGAGUAAGCUAAUCUCUUAAAGCCAUUCUCAGUUCGGAUUGUAGGCUGCAACUCGCCUACAUGAAGUCGGAAUCGCUAGUAAUCGCGGAUCAGCAUGCCGCGGUGAAUACGUUCCCGGGCCUUGUACACACCGCCCGUCACACCAUGAGAGUUUGUAACACCCAAAGUCGGUGGGGUAACCUUUUAGGAACCAGCCGCCUAAGGUGGGACAGAUGAUUAGGGUGAAGUCGUAACAAGGUAGCCGUAGGAGAACCUGCGGUUGGAUCAC